This 2752-nucleotide ribosomal RNA is filed under the name Sanghuangporus sanghuang. RNAcentral's name for it is "23S ribosomal RNA". It matches the Rfam family "Bacterial large subunit ribosomal RNA", at positions 15 to 2533 of the family's 2925-position model. Lineage: Eukaryota; Fungi; Basidiomycota; Agaricomycetes; Hymenochaetales; Hymenochaetaceae. The record is from RNAcentral.
GGGGUUAUUAAGGAUAAUUAGCAAAUUUAUAAAUAAGGAGGUAAGCAACCUAAAAGCUACAUUUCUAAAGUGGCAAUCCUAAGGGAAACCUUUUAUUUAAAACUUCCUGAAGUAAAUCAUUUUAGUAAGGAAAGGAAAGGAAAUCAACCGAGACUCCGAAAGUAAUGGUGAGUGAAAUCGGAUUAGCCUAUGAGAAUUAAAAAAUGAAACAAAACACACUUAUUUUUUUUAGUCUUUCUAAUCAACUUCAUUUGUGUUCCAAAGAAGGUAACAACCAUAGUCCUGUAAUUUUUUUUUUUAAUCAUAUUUUUAUCUAUAAAAAAGAAAAGAUAAAAAAAACACAAAAAAUACGAUGAGAGAAAACUUGUCGGAAUAUAGGGGUACCAUCCUCUAAGGCUAAGUAUUAUAAAUUUAGCGAUAGUGAACAGUACUGUAAAGGAACAUGUGAAAAAGUAAAUAAUAAAAUUAAUGAAAUAGAUAUUGAAUUAGUAACUCUAUAAGCAGCCGAAAUUAACUUAAAACAAUAACGGCGUACCUUUUGCAUAAUGGGUCAGCAAGUUAAUAGGAAUAGCAAGGUUAAAAGCCUUAGCGAAAGCGACUAAACUUAUUUAAAAAAGUAAAAUUUUUAUUUUACAAUUUAUUUUUAAUUUGAAUAAAUUAAAAAAAAGUAAUACCUUGUGUUAAAUAAAAAAUUAAAUUUUUUUUUAUUAUUGAUAUAAGUUAUUAUUUUUUAAAUUAUAGUUUUGGGUUAGUUAUUUCUAUUAGACCCGAAGCUAGAUGAUCUUUUUAGGGCCAGAUUAUUAAGGAUCGAACGGGUGAAUGUUGCAGAAUUCUCCGAUGAGUUGGAAAUGCCAAUCUGAUCUAGUGCUAGCUGGUAUUCUUCGAAACAUAUGUAAGUAUGACAUCCAAUUAAAUUUAUGAAGGUACAGCACGGAAAUUCCGAACAAGUAUUAUUAUUUUUUUCAAACAAUGUUUUUGUUUAUAAAAAUUUAAAGUAAUAUGCGUUUAGGUUGCGGGGAUCUAGUAAAUCUUACCAAUGGAAUUGAAACUCGGAAGUACAUAAAUUGAUGUUGGAUAUUCAGACUGCUCAUGAUAAGUUGGGUAGUCAAGACGAAAACAGUCGAGAACACGUUUUAAGGUCCCAAAUGAUUAUUAAGUGAAAUUAAAGAUGUUACAAAUUGCAAGCAGCUGUAAAAUGAGCCUGGCAGUCGCUACUUUUUAAUGAACGUUGUAACAACGCAGCAGCUCUUUAGAUUGUAGCACUAAAAAUUUAACGGGUCUAAAUAAUCAACCGAUAUCGUGUUAAUUAAUAAAUAUUUUUUUUUUUAUUAAUUUAGGUAGAAGAACAUUCAGAAACGGUAGAAACACAGUGUUCCAUUGUGAUUGACGAACUGAAGAGAGAAUGCUGACAUGAGUAACGUAAAAAGAAGUUUUAAUACUUCUCGCCGAAUACGAAAGGGUUAUAAGUAAGGUUUAAACUAACUUAUGUUAAAUGCGGGUCUCUAAGGUACAGAACCAUUGUUCUGGCUGAUGAGGUAGUGAUUGUUAUGUCUUAAUGGAAGAUUGGACCUAGAAAAAGAAUCACUUCUGAAGAAUUAUUAAUUUAGUUUUGAUAUAAUUAUUUAUAAUUAUAUUAGAUUAUAUUUAAAAAGGUCACAUUUUUAAAUAAAUGGACUGUAAACAUUUUAAAUUUAAGUUAUAAUGUUAAUUGUUAUAUUUAGGUGAUAAGAUAACAAUUAAGCUUAAGUAAAAAGAACUACCGUACCCUAAACCGACACAGGUUCGUAGGUAGAGAAUACUAAGGCGUAGAGCUAAAAGUUGUAAAGGAACUCGGCAAGUUGUCCUGCAUUGUGUUCUGGGAAAACACAUAAGUGGGUAAAACUAUCAAACUCCGGGGACACCCUAAAACUUAUGGUACCAAACUAUAGUCGAAAGGCUAUAAGUGGAUGGACUAAUCACCCAUGUAAGGUAAUAAGUCAUAAGAUGAUUGAAAAUGAAAUGGGUUAUCGCGGAUCUAAAUCAGAAUUUCAAAACCCACAGCCAAAUGAAAUAUCUGUAAAAGAGCAACGAGUAGACGGUAGUUGUUGCAUUAAAAAUAAAAUAUUGCAAUUAAGGUGUACUCUAAUGGGAUUCCAAAGAAAUUUGCCAUGUUAAAUGAGGUCCGGUAUCAAUAAUGUAACGAAGGUCUCACUGUCUCUACAACUUGCUCAGUGAAAUUGAAUUACCAGUGCAGAUGCUGGUUACUCUCAGUGGGACGGGAAGACCCUAUGCAGCUUUACUGUAGUUAGUUAAUACACUGAUCUAAAACAAUUCAAAUCAAUAGAAAUUAGGCAUGUCGACAGACGUAAUCCGAAAGGAAAGUGGAAACCUCCUGAUUUGAAUUGGGUUAGUGUUUACCUUAUUAAAUAGAAAUUUGGGAUAAUUGACUAAUUGGCAGUUUGACUGGGGCGGUCGUCUUUAAUAAAGUAGCAAAGUACAUCCAAAGAUUUAUUAAAAAAAAUUCUUUUUAUAAGGUAUAGCUAGAAAUCGAAUGGAGAUCAAUCAACCAGUGUAAAGGUUGCGCAGAGUGUAAUGGCGGAAAGCAUACCUAACUGAAAGACUUAAAAGUCGACCAGAUACGUAAGUAGGGCAUAGUGACCCCUCGCUAUAAAAUGGAAUAGACGGGGAUCAAUUGAUAAAAGUUACGCUAGGGAUAACAGGCUGAUAGCCGGCGAGAGUACACAUUGUCCCGGCUGAUUGGCACCUUAACUUU